UCAAAAAAGCGACUAGCUCAAAUCUAGCGACUUUUUUUUGUGUUACUAUAGAUUUUUAUAGACGGUCAUUUGUUCAUACUGUACCGUCUCUACUCUUCACAACGAGCUGCGGGUGAUGCCGCCGGCCCCACCCACGCUUCAGAGCACAGACAGGCGGCCCAGUCCACGUACAGCAGCCUUAGCACCGGCAGUGUGAAGAAUUUCUCAAAACAAAGCAUGCACACCUCGGAGUGUGUUAAAAAUUCGGGAGGGUGCACUGCUUUAAAGCCAACCAUUUUGCAGUCCAUGACGGCAUCCAAUUUGUACAGCAAAAUGAAUCCCUCAACAUCUGGCAACAUGCAACUCUCGAUGACAGCAACUCAGAGGUGGAGUUUGAACCUUCCCACUAAGGUGUCGUGGUGGGAUGGGUGGUUUUUUCCGGUCAGGGGGCGGCAGACGGACCCCUUCCUCCAGCUGCAUGAGUCGGGCCACGUCAGGUGGGAUGUGCUCUGGUUUGACUCCUGCUGGCGGAGGCUGGAAACUACCAUUGUUCUGCUGACAGUUUGGCAAAGCUGGGUUAGUCGUGGGCUUUGUUUCACAUAUAAGAGGGACCUGUUGUGAAAAAAAAAUAUAUAAGACAGAUUUUAGAGAUUGUUUGAUUGUCAUUAACUAUGUUUCCAUCUAAAAAUGCAAAUUAGAGUAAGGCGCAAAACUGAAAUAUUACAUGAAACAUUUGCAAAUAAAUUACUGCUUCCAUCCAAUGAGAAAAAGAGAGCAAAUCAUCACUUUAUUUUACUGGGGGAAAACACUUUUCCUACUCAGUUGUGCACUUACGUUUUUCAAAAAGACUCUUUCAACAUUUGUGUGCAUUUUGGUGAGUUUUGGGAAAUAUUUCAAAGUGGAACUGGCAGGUUAUUCUGCUUGUUUUAAGGAAAAACUCACUUCAUUUUGACUUAGAUGGGUUUUGAAAAUAAAACUGUAUUUUUACUUGUCUAGAAAAUAAGAAUUUUUAGAGAAAGAAAGAAAGAAAGAAAGAAAGAGGAAAGAAAAGAGGGUUAAAUGGA
Danio aesculapii is the source of this 1043-nucleotide long non-coding RNA. RefSeq lists it as uncharacterized. The record is from RefSeq and is a predicted model, not a curated record. NCBI's taxonomy places the organism in Eukaryota, Metazoa, Chordata, Actinopteri, Cypriniformes, Danionidae. The transcript has 3 exons.